AUGGCUCAGUGCACUCAGCUGAUCCAGACCACCUCCGCCCAUGGUGCCCCUCCUAUCUCCGCUCCUCCCUCCCCACCCUCGGUCUUAUGGGCCCCUCUUGUCCAAGCUCCUCUCCAGGCUGCGGCCGCCACAACGCCCCUUGCUCUCGCCCUGGCCCAUCACACCCAAUUUCCCCCCAUCCUUUUCCACCACCCUCUGACUCACAGUGCAUCCUUCAAAGAGCACCACCCUCUGACACACAGUGCAUCCUUCAAAGAGCACCACCCUCUGACUCACAGCGCAUCCUUCAAAGAGCACCAUUCAAAGAGGGUCCAUGUGGGACAAUCUGGCGGCGGGUCAGGGCCUAGUUCACCUGUCUGUUCCUCUAAACUCCCCACAGUUUUGGAGAUUCCCGGCGUGACGUCACUCAGGACUUCCCUUUGUGGGACGGUCUCUCCGACUAUGCCUGCUCAGCCCAUCUUCACCAGCAGCAUGCAGCCUCUUAUCCCUUUCCCGCAACCCCCGCAUCACAUUUCCUCUGUACUUCCCAUGGGUCAGUCCACUGUGUCCUACACCUGCUCCACUCAGCCGCACCCUCAAGCUUUCCCAAGCAGCAUACCCAGUGCACAUCUCCCAUUUUUCCAGCAGGCGGCCGCAGCGAUGUUACCUGGCAGAUUUUUGCCUCCCCCUUCCUCGGCGUCUGUUAUAAGCCCCCUGAUCUCCAGCUCGGUGGGUCCCAUCCUGAGCCAGCUGCAGCAAAGCUCACAUGCCACAGUGCAGCAGAUGGGAGCGGGUCAUCAUGACAAAGCUGUUAGGACAUCCAGCGGCCCAAAUCUCUCUUAUUUCCCCAUAGUCACCAGCGGACUGCCCUCUAGUGGACUCAUCGCAGGAGCAGCUGCGUCUCUGGCCCAGCACAGUCUCACCGGGCUCCACUCUGCCUUCCUGCCCCAAGUCCUACCUGAGCACUCCGCCUUGGCAUCCCUCACCCAAUAUGGGUCGGCUGAGUGCUCCCCUUGUUACACCCCUCCCAUCCCCAGCCCGAGCGUCCAAAGCCCUGUUAAAGCCAGGACAGUUCACGGCAACCCGCUCGUUCCUCAAGCGUCUUGUGCCGCUCGAAUGGACAGUGCACAGAGUGGACCAGACCCUCCAGAGUCCUUCGGGGAACUUUUUAACCAGGAAAUAAAGACAAUCUCAGGCUCGCACAGCGCUAUACACCGAGAAAGGCCUUUGGCAAUGGGUGGAUUCUCAGAAGGGACUUCUAGCCCAUUCUCCUCCCCCAUUUCUGUCUGUAAACCCCACAGCCCCAUUCCAGGACAUUCCACUCCUUCUGGUCAAACGCAUUUGGCAUUUGAACCUCAAAAUAAGCUAACAAUGCCCCACUCUCCACAUACCCAAUCCUCAUCACCAUCUGAAAUGUUAGAGAAAGAAAACACAGAGUCAACCCUCCCCUCAAACUUGUGA
RNAcentral lists this long non-coding RNA (1440 nucleotides) under Neogobius melanostomus (round goby). Its description in RNAcentral is "lncRNA (ENSNMLG00000020986.1)". The record is from RNAcentral. Lineage: Eukaryota; Metazoa; Chordata; Actinopteri; Gobiiformes; Gobiidae.